GAAAUGCGAUAAGUAAUGUGAAUUGCAGAAUUCAGUGAAUCAUCGAAUCUUUGAACGCACCUUGCGCUCCUUGGUAUUCCGAGGAGCAUGCCUGUUUGAGUGUCAUUAAUAUAUCAACCUUCUCUUUUUGAGUGGUUUGGAUGUGGGGGUUUGCUGGCCUCUUAAAAAGGUCUUGGCUCUCCUGAAAUACAUUAGCAGAACAACCCUGUUCAUUGGUGUGAUAAACUAUCUACGCUAUUGAAUGUGAAGGGCAGUUUGGCUUUCUAACAGUCCUUGGACAAGCUCAUCAUUAAUGUGACCUCAAAUCAGGUAGGACUACCCGCUGAACUUAA
This 332-nucleotide unclassified non-coding RNA is filed under the name uncultured Cortinarius. Its description in RNAcentral is "sequence contains ITS1". The stretch from base 1 to 105 matches the Rfam family "5.8S ribosomal RNA", at positions 50 to 154 of the family's 154-position model. Lineage: Eukaryota; Fungi; Basidiomycota; Agaricomycetes; Agaricales; Cortinariaceae. The record is from RNAcentral.